RNAcentral lists this ribosomal RNA (133 nucleotides) under uncultured bacterium. RNAcentral's name for it is "partial 16S ribosomal RNA". The record is from RNAcentral.
CACGGAGUUAGCCGGUGCUUAUUCAUAUGGUACCGUCAUUAUCUUCCCAUAUAAAAGGAGUUUACACACCGAAAUGCGUCAUCCUCCACGCGGCGUUGCUGCAUCAGAGUUUCCUCCAUUGUGCAAUAUUCCC